AUGCGUGUAUUUCUCAUUUAUUGGAAACUGAGAGCAGAGCAUGCCGCUCAUGGCGUGCACGAUCCGAGAGAUGUGCGUGUCCAUCCCCACGCACUGGCAUCGCCCGGCCAUGGCGGCAUGCAGGUAACUACACUACUUCGCGCACGAUUGGCACAGCCCGGCAUCUGUGCGCAUGCAAGAACAAAUGAAAACAAACAUGCUUAUCUAAUUACAGCACAUAGGAGUUUCUAACAUGUAUAUGGUAGUGCAAGUGAUGCUUUGCUAUGGUCUUGGUAAAUAAUAUGUAAACAAACUGCUCCUUAGAUCACCUCAUUAGCACUCGAUGUCUCAACAAAGCACUGUUUGUACAUAACUAGAGAAACUAUCCCAACACCUAAACCUAACGGCAGCACUGAUCUUUUGUGUAAAACUAUCCCAACACUGUACCUUGUGAUCAGUGCUUACAAGCAGAAUACAGCCGUCAAGAUUGAGCAGAUCACUGCACUGCUGCUAGCUAUAUCGAUAGUUGUCAAACAUUGGGUCUUCCUAUCUCCCAGGAUGUGUUGCUCCCUGCUGCCCUAUCGAUCUCCAUGACAGCCUCUGAAGGUACUAGGGUUGCCAUAGACAAGUUCUGGUUCACCGACGACACCAGAAAUUGAGCCUACUGUGGUAAACUGAGCCCACUUGCUUCACCAGAUUCAUUCUCAGCUGUCCCUUAGAACAAACUGUGCGUAAGACAACAUCAAAUUGAGCUUGUACCACGAGCUGGAUCAAGCUCGUGGCUCUCAGGUCGUGCCAGAGCCUCCCAAAUCGAGCUUUAAUGGAACCUUGGCUGGGGAACGGAUAUGAGUAGCACUGGCCAUUUAGGCCUAUACAGUUUCUUUGACUUGGACUGUGUUAUGUGGUAGGUUGUCUCUAUAUAUGUAUUUCAUCAUUUACAGUGGCUUGGUUUCUGUCCAUCCUCCAAGUUGUGUUGUUUUACCAUUAAUACUUAUAGUGGAAACUAUUAUCGUUUGAGAUUGUUUAAG
Molecule: long non-coding RNA, 1007 nt
Filed under: Sorghum bicolor (sorghum)
Lineage: Eukaryota; Viridiplantae; Streptophyta; Magnoliopsida; Poales; Poaceae
Description: long non-coding RNA (SBIC_LNC009555)
Source: RNAcentral